GUGGGGAAUUGUUCGCAAUGGGCGCAAGCCUGACGACGCAACGCCGCGUGGAGGAUGAAGAUCUUCGGGUCGUAAACUCCUGUCGAGCGGGAAGAACACCCCUGGCGUGAACAGCGCCGGAGGUUGACGGUACCGCGAGAGGAAGCCCCGGCUAACUCCGUGCCAGCAGCCGCGGUAAUACGGGGGGGGCAAGCGUUGUUCGGAAUUACUGGGUGUAAAGGGCUCGUAGGCGGCCAACUAAGUCCGACGUGAAAUCCCCCGGCUUAACUGGGGAACUGCGUUCGAUACUGGUUGGCUUGAGAUCGGGAGAGGGACGUGGAAUUCCAGGUGUAGCGGUGAAAUGCGUAGAUAUCUGGAGGAACACCGGUGGCGAAGGCGGCGUCCUGGACCGACACUGACGCUGAGGAGCGAAAGCCAGGGGAGCAAACGGGAUUAGAAACCCGAGUAGUCC
This 451-nucleotide ribosomal RNA is filed under the name uncultured bacterium. RNAcentral describes it as "bacterial SSU rRNA". It matches the Rfam family "Bacterial small subunit ribosomal RNA", at positions 354 to 796 of the family's 1533-position model. The record is from RNAcentral.